This 468-nucleotide ribosomal RNA is filed under the name uncultured bacterium. RNAcentral describes it as "partial 16S ribosomal RNA". It matches the Rfam family "Bacterial small subunit ribosomal RNA", at positions 28 to 507 of the family's 1533-position model. The record is from RNAcentral.
GAUGAACGCUGGCGGCGUGCUUAACACAUGCAAGUCGAACGGAAAGGCCAUGCUUUUGUGGGGUGCUCGUGAGGCGAACGGGUGAGUGACACGUGUGUAAACUGCACUUGUAUUAGUGAUAAAUUCAGGAAACUGGGGCUCAUACCGGAUAGGAGAUACUGAUGCAUGGUGUGGGAUGGAAAGUUUCGGCGGUUGGGGCUGGACUAGAGGCUUAUCAGCUUGAUGGUGGGGUAGUGGCUUACCAAGGCUUUGACGGGUAGCCGGCCUGGGAGGGUGACCGGCCACAUUGGGACUGAGAUAGGGCCCAGACUCCAACGGUAGGCAGCAGUGGGGAACCUUGCACAACAGGCGCAAGCCAGAGGCAGCAGCCCCGCGUUCGGGAUGACGGCCUUCUGGGGAUAAACCGCUUUGUCCGUUGACAAGGCGGGAGUGACGGUAAUUAGUAAAGAAGCAACGGCUAACUACGUG